GUUUAUUCACCUGUGAAAUGGAGAUAAAUGAAUACUACUUGAAGUGAAAUCUGCUGCUAUUCAAGUUGUUUUUCCCAAUAGAUUUUGAUCAUUUGGCUAACUGCUAACAUUCCAUCAAAAGAAUGGAGAAGAGAUUAAAAACUAACAAAUCUUGGCUUCCUACUGACUGAGAAUCGUCAGGAAGCAGGCAGCAAGUGGAGGCUGAAACUGAAGUCACUGGAGAUUUCUUUGAUGUUAAAGGCUUGCAGUAUACGCUUGUCUCUGCUGC
Long non-coding RNA from Neogale vison (American mink), 268 nucleotides. RefSeq lists it as uncharacterized. NCBI's taxonomy places the organism in Eukaryota, Metazoa, Chordata, Mammalia, Carnivora, Mustelidae. The transcript is spliced from 3 exons. The record is from RefSeq and is a predicted model, not a curated record.